AAUGGGGGAAACCCUGACGCAGCAACGCCGCGUGGGUGAUGAAGGCCUUCGGGUCGUAAAGCCCUGUCGGGAGGGAAGAAAUGAUUGAGAGCUAAUACCUCUUGGUCUUGACGGUACCUCCGAAGGAAGCACCGGCUAACUCCGUGCCAGCAGCCGCGGUAACACGUAAGGGGCGAGCGUUGUUCGGAAUUAUUGGGCGUAAAGGGCGCGUAGGCGGUCUUGUAAGCCCGGCGUGAAAACCUGGAGCUCAACUCCGGGCCUGCGCUGGGAACUGCGGGACUAGAGUCAUGGAAGGGAAGUUGGAAUUCCAGGUGUAGGGGUGAAAUCUGUAGAUAUCUGGAAGAACACCGGUGGCGAAGGCGAACUUCUGGCCAAUGACUGACGCUGAGGCGCGAAAGUGCGGGGAGCAAA
RNAcentral lists this ribosomal RNA (411 nucleotides) under uncultured bacterium. RNAcentral describes it as "bacterial SSU rRNA". It matches the Rfam family "Bacterial small subunit ribosomal RNA", at positions 370 to 772 of the family's 1533-position model. The record is from RNAcentral.